This is a long non-coding RNA of Triticum dicoccoides, 587 nucleotides long. RefSeq lists it as uncharacterized. The transcript is spliced from 3 exons. The record is from RefSeq and is a predicted model, not a curated record. Lineage: Eukaryota; Viridiplantae; Streptophyta; Magnoliopsida; Poales; Poaceae.
CGCAGCCAUCGUCUCCUUUGACUUCACCGCCAUCGUCUCCAUCGACUUCGCCGCAAGACAAUCUGCCACCGCCUCCGCCGAUUUUGCCGGAAGACCAUCAGCCGUCGCCUAGACCUACUUUGAGAAAAUAGAUGACAGCACUGUAACUUAAUAUUACACAGAACAUUGAAGAGGACUUUGAUAACCGACCUUCAAAAAAAGAAAAAAAUUCUGAAUCAAGUGUUCUGGAGCCAUCACCUAUGUCACCAACUAUGUCAACAUGUACUCCAGUUUCUGAGUGUUUUGAAUCGAUUGUGCCAAAAUCAGAUAAUCAGAUAGAUUGUGGUCCAUUGCCAUCACCUCCAUCCCCAUCUAGCUCGACAUUAUCAAGAACAUCGGUCGAGCCGUACAAUGGCGCCUGCAGCGGUUACACCAGAGGUACCUGCUCUUGCUACGAUCCAUGGCUUACGUACUGUACUUCUAUAGAUCCUUUUUGGCAUAAUGAGCUAUGUGCAGGCUCUCCAUUUUGGCUAUAUUCAUUUUCCGUAACAAUGCAUGUAUUCGGAUAUCAUUUUGAUAUUCCCUUAUGUUGAUCCAAGUGCGCUCAG